RNAcentral lists this ribosomal RNA (452 nucleotides) under uncultured bacterium. RNAcentral's name for it is "bacterial SSU rRNA". It matches the Rfam family "Bacterial small subunit ribosomal RNA", at positions 29 to 524 of the family's 1533-position model. The record is from RNAcentral.
AGCGAACGCUGGCGGCAGGCUUAACACAUGCAAGUCGAGCGGGCGUAGCAAUACGUCAGCGGCAGACGGGUGAGUAACGCGUGGGAACGUACCUUUUGGUUCGGAACAACCCAGGGAAACUUGGGCUAAUACCGGAUAAGCCCUUACGGGGAAAGAUUUAUCGCCAAAAGAUCGGCCCGCGUCUGAUUAGCUUGUUGGUGAGGUAACGGCUCACCAAGGCGACGAUCAGUAGCUGGUCUGAGAGGAUGAUCAGCCACAUUGGGACUGAGACACAGCCCAAACUCCUACGGGAGGCAGCAGUGGGGAAUAUUGGACAAUGGGCGCAAGCCUGAUCCAGCCAUGCCGCGUGAGUGAUGAAGGCCCUAGGGUUGUAAAGCUCUUUUGUGCGGGAAGAUAAUGACUGUACCGCAAGAAUAAGCCCCGGCUAACUUCGUGCCAGCCGCCGCCGUAAG